This 445-nucleotide ribosomal RNA is filed under the name uncultured bacterium. RNAcentral describes it as "partial 16S ribosomal RNA". It matches the Rfam family "Bacterial small subunit ribosomal RNA", at positions 354 to 796 of the family's 1533-position model. The record is from RNAcentral.
GUGAGGAAUAUUGGUCAAUGGACGAGAGUCUGAACCAGCCAAGUCGCGUGAAGGAAGACGGUUCUAUGAAUUGUAAACUUCUUUUGUGCAGGAAUAAAGUGGGUUACGUGUAACCUUUUGUAUGUACUGUACGAAUAAGGAUCGGCUAACUCCGUGCCAGCAGCCGCGGUAAUACGGAGGAUCCGAGCGUUAUCCGGAUUUAUUGGGUUUAAAGGGUGCGUAGGUGGAUUGAUAAGUCAGAGGUGCAAGUUUGCAGCUUAACUGUAAAAUUGCCGUUGAAACUGUCGGUCUUGAGUGCAAAUGAGGUAGGCGGAAUGUGUUGUGUAGCGGUGAAAUGCUUAGAUAUAACACAGAACUCCGAUUGCGAAGGCAGCUUACUGGGAUGCAACUGACACUGAUGCACGAAAGCGUGGGUAUCAAACAGGAUUAGAAACCCUGGUAGUCC